RNAcentral lists this non-coding RNA (71 nucleotides) under unclassified sequences. RNAcentral's name for it is "69-dG-II sequence". It matches the Rfam family "2dG-II purine riboswitch aptamer". From Rfam's summary of the family: Purine riboswitch variant that recognize 2'-deoxyguanosine The record is from Rfam by way of RNAcentral.
UAACCUUGUAACCGCUGGGAUUGGCUGGCGGGAAUCCACCGUUCGACCGUAAUCGGGCGUGACCAAGGGAA